This 2154-nucleotide unclassified non-coding RNA is filed under the name Cotesia glomerata. Its description in RNAcentral is "luc7-like protein 3, transcript variant X2". The record is from RNAcentral. Lineage: Eukaryota; Metazoa; Arthropoda; Insecta; Hymenoptera; Braconidae.
GGCUCGCAGUAUAGUUGCAUGUGUUUCGUGUCACACAUCAGUUGUUUGUUUAAAUACAAAAAAAAAAAGUAAAUGCAUUAUCAGUACUAAUCACUAUCAAUAAAAUAAUCAUAUGAUUACGUAAGUUUAUCUUAUUACAGUUAAAUCAAUAAAAAAUAAUUUACAAAAUCUUGUAAUUUAUUUUUUUAAUCAUGGUGUCAUUUCUGAGCACAAUCAGUGAUUAGUGAACAUAUACUCACAAAUAUACACAUGUAUAUUGACACAUAUAUAUUCCGCACAUAAAAAACGACAUUCAAACAUGGCUGCUGCAGCGGCUGCCGCGCUUCUCGAUGAAUUGAUGGGAAGAAAUCGUAAUGUUUUACCAAACGAAAAACCUAAAGAACUCAAUUGGGAAGAUCCUGAGUUUUGCAAACUCUACUUAGUCAAAUUUUGUCCACAUGAUUUAUUUGUGAAUACAAGAGCUGAUUUAGGUGCAUGUUCCCGUGUACACGACGAUGAAGCACGUGAACUUUAUGAAAAAGCGCAAUACUCAUAUAGAAAACAGCAAUAUGAAGAUGAAUUCAUACGCUUUUGUCAAAGCAUGUUAAAUGAAGUGGAAAGGAAAAUUGUAAAAGGCAAACAGAGGCUAGCACUUAUUGGAAAAACUGAAGCGCCGACACUAACUCCAGCACAAACGCAAAGAAAUGAAGAACAAAUCGCGCUUUUAACAGAAAAAAUUAACAAAUUAGUCGAAGAGGCUGAGCAGAGUGGUAUUCAGGGUAAUGUUGAACAGGCACAAGGAUUAAUGAGACUCUGUGAUCAAUUGAAGGAAGAACGUGAGACGCUUAGGAAAUCCAAUGACAACAGUCAUUACAAUCAGACGGCGGAGUUGGCAGCUGCACAAGAAAAACAAAUGGAAGUAUGUGACGUAUGUGGAGCAUUUUUAAUUGUCGGUGACGCACAACAACGUAUUGACGAUCAUCUUAUGGGCAAACAGCACGUCGGAUAUGCUAGAUUAAAAACAGCUCUCCAAGAAAUAAUGGCUAAACGUGAAAAGGCGAGAGAUGAAAAAGAACAAAAAAGAGAUGAAGAUCGUAAACAACGUGCUCGUGCUAAUGACGAAAUUGAAAGGAGACGACGUGAUGGAGAUAGAGAACGUGAUCGUGAGCGAGAUCGUGAUCGUGAUCGUGAUCGUGAUCGUGAAAGAGAUAAACGUCGUAGACGUGAUGAAGAAAAAAAUCGGCAUGAUUCACACAGAAAUUCUAACUACAGAAGUAGAAGUCAAUCACGCGAUCACCAUGAUCGUCAUCGAGAAGAAGAUUAUCGUCGUCAUAAUCGAGACAGAGGAAACCGAGAUCAUAGAAAUUCCAACAGUCACAAUCGUCGCCGUCACCGGUCAAGAAGUCGAAGUCACAAGUAACAAUUCUUGAUUGGUUAGUGAGUGAGCAAUGAUCCAGGUAUGCACUAUACAAUUAAAUAUUAACGUGUCAAUUACUGUGCAGGUAUUGAAAAUAUAAUAAGGUGAGUUUAAUUAGCUCUGCCACGUAAAUGAACAUUACUAUUUGAUUGUUCAAAAUAAAUAAACGUUUCCAAAUUUUGUAAUAAAAAACAAAAUUGCAAUAAUAUAAAAAAAAAAAAAAAAAAACAAGAUCAAAUUGUUUGUAACUGAAAUCGUUGGUAAUUCAGCGUUUAAUAUUAUUUUUAUUACACGAUUACGGAAACAAAUACGACUAUACGUAAUAUACUGCGCGUUUUAAAUGAAUAAAAUAACGCGGUAAAUAAUUAAUGAUUGAUGUAGAUUAAAGAUAAUACUUAGUUUAUUAUAAAUACAUAAAUGAUACGAGCAAGUUAGGAGAAGGUAUACCUACACUUGCUUUAUUAUUGCAAUAGGAAUAUUAUUUAAAGUUACUUUUAUUAAUUAAUAAUUUAACGUAAAAAAACAAUAGUUGAAAAAAUAAAAAAAAAUUCAAAAAAGUUAGUGGUUUAGUGAAGGAAAUGAGUGCCUACUACAGUAGAUCUGCUUCAGCAGUGCCCUGUGUGACUAGCUUCUGCCACGCAUUUAAUGAGAAUUUGACCAGCCGGAGGAUUUGACUUCACUUAAUGAAUCAUGCGAGUUAUCAACGUGAAAUAUCUUUUAAGGUAAAGAUUUUAUAUAAUCUUGAGAUUGGCGAAAAG